This 468-nucleotide ribosomal RNA is filed under the name uncultured bacterium. RNAcentral describes it as "partial 16S ribosomal RNA". It matches the Rfam family "Bacterial small subunit ribosomal RNA", at positions 28 to 507 of the family's 1533-position model. The record is from RNAcentral.
GACGAACGCUGGCGGCGUGCUUAACACAUGCAAGUCGAACGGAAAGGCCCUGCUUUUGUGGGGUGCUCGAGUGGCGAACGGGUGAGUAACACGUGAGUAACCUGCCCUUGACUUUGGGAUAACUUCAGGAAACUGGGGCUAAUACCGGAUAGGAGCUCCUGCUGCAUGGUGGGGGUUGGAAAGUUUCGGCGGUUGGGGAUGGACUCGCGGCUUAUCAGCUUGUUGGUGGGGUAGUGGCUUACCCAGGCUUUGACGGGUAGGCGGCCUGAGAGGGUGACCGGCGACAUUGGGACUGAGAUACGGCCCAGACUCCUACGGGAGGCAGCAGUGGGGAAUAUUGCACAAUGGGCGGAAGCCUGAUGCAGCAACGCCGCGUGCGGGAUGACGGCCUUCGGGUUGUAAACCGCUUUCGCCUGUGACGAAGCGUGAGUGACGGUAAUGGGUAAAGAAGCACCGGCUAACUACGUG